UAGCAUAUCAAUAAGCGGAGGAAAAGAAACUAACAAGGAUUCCCCUAGUAGCGGCGAGCGAAGCGGGAAGAGCUCAAAUUUAUAAUCUGGCACCUUCGGUGUCCGAGUUGUAAUCUCUAGAAAUGUUUUCCGCGUUGGACCGCACACAAGUCUGUUGGAAUACAGCGGCAUAGUGGUGAGACCCCCGUAUAUGGUGCGGACGCCCAGCGCUUUGUGAUACAUUUUCGAAGAGUCGAGUUGUUUGGGAAUGCAGCUCAAAUUGGGUGGUAAAUUCCAUCUAAAGCUAAAUAUUGGCGAGAGACCGAUAGCGAACAAGUACCGUGAGGGAAAGAUGAAAAGCACUUUGGAAAGAGAGUUAACAGUACGUGAAAUUGUUGGAAGGGAAACGCUUGAAGUCAGACUUGCUUGCCGAGCAAUCGGUUUGCAGGCCAGCAUCAGUUUUCCGGGAUGGAUAAUGGUAGAGAGAAGGUAGCAGUUUCGGCUGUGUUAUAGCUCUCUGCUGGAUACAUCUUGGGGGACUGAGGAACGCAGUGUGCCUUUGGCGGGGGUUUCGACCUCUUCACACUUAGGAUGCUGGUGGAAUGGCUUUAAACGACCCGUCUUGAAACACGGACCAAGGAGUCUAACAUGCUUGCGAGUAUUUGGGUGUCAAACCCGGAUGCGUAAUGAAAGUGAAUGGAGGUGGGAACCGCAAGGUGCACCAUCGACCGAUCUGGAUUUUUAAUGAUGGAUUUGAGUAAGAGCACGUAUGUUGGGACCCGAAAGAUGGUGAACUAUGCCUGAAUAGGGCGAAGCCAGAGGAAACUCUGGUGGAGGCUCGUAGCGGUUCUGACGUGCAAAUCGAUCGUCAAAUUUGGGUAUAGGGGCGAAAGACUAAUCGAACCAUCUAGUAGCUGGUUCCUGCCGA
This 907-nucleotide ribosomal RNA is filed under the name Rhodotorula mucilaginosa. RNAcentral describes it as "LSU rRNA". It matches the Rfam family "Eukaryotic large subunit ribosomal RNA", at positions 36 to 964 of the family's 3401-position model. Lineage: Eukaryota; Fungi; Basidiomycota; Microbotryomycetes; Sporidiobolales; Sporidiobolaceae. The record is from RNAcentral.